GGUGUAGUGACAAAGUGGUUUGAGUGCUAGGCUAUGAUUCUGGAGAGCAGGGUUUGAUUCCCUGCUCAGCCA
This is a non-coding RNA of Phrynosoma platyrhinos (Desert horned lizard), 72 nucleotides long. NCBI's taxonomy places the organism in Eukaryota, Metazoa, Chordata, Lepidosauria, Squamata, Phrynosomatidae. The record is from the annotation of a GenBank genome assembly.